GACGAACGCUGGCGGCGUGCCUAAUACAUGCAAGUCGAGCGAAGUUUUUCUGGUGCUUGCACUAGAAACACUUAGCGGCGAACGGGUGAGUAACACGUAAAGAACCUGCCUCAUAGACUGGGACAACUAUUGGAGACGAUAGCUAAUACCGGAUAACAGUAUUUCUCGCAUGAGAGAUAUUUAAAAGUUGGUUAUGCUAACACUAUGAGAUGGCUUUGCGGUGCAUUAGCUAGUUGGUGGGGUAAAGGCCCACCAAGGCGACGAUGCAUAGCCGACCUGAGAGGGUGAUCGGCCACACUGGGACUGAGACACGGCCCAGACUCCUACGGGAGGCAGCAGUAGGGAAUCUUCCGCAAUGGGCGAAAGCCUGACGGAGCAACGCCGCGUGAGUGAAGAAGGAUUUCGGUUCGUAAAGCUCUGUUGUUAGGGAAGAAUGGAUAUGUAGUAACUAUACAUGUAAGAGACGGUACCUAACCAGAAAGCCACGGCUAACUACGUG
Molecule: ribosomal RNA, 499 nt
Filed under: uncultured bacterium
Lineage: Bacteria
Description: partial 16S ribosomal RNA
Rfam family: Bacterial small subunit ribosomal RNA
Source: RNAcentral